RNA transcript from Mus pahari (shrew mouse), 6252 nucleotides. It is a transcript of the gene named TSC22 domain family member 1, with no coding region annotated. NCBI's taxonomy places the organism in Eukaryota, Metazoa, Chordata, Mammalia, Rodentia, Muridae. The record is from RefSeq and is a predicted model, not a curated record. The transcript is spliced from 3 exons.
GGUGGCGAGGGCCGGGGCGACCGCUCGCUCCGCGCUGCCUCGGUGCAGGACGAGCGGAGGGGCUUUGCAGCGGCCGUCGCCGCGGGAGGAGGGGGUUGAGCUGGCUCCGGAGUUGGCCAAAGAAGGUGGGCAUUUCUCGCUUCUCCUCGCCUCCCCCGCCCCCUCCUGAGCUCUCCUCCCUCCCGCCCCGCACCCCACGUGAAGCGGAAUAUAAAGGGGGGUGUGUGACUGGAGGGGAAAGUGAAUGGCGAAGGACUGAAGGGGUCCCCCUUCGGUUCCCCAGCCACCUGGUUCACCCGGUUCAUCCUCCCUUCCCGAAGCUAGCCCUCGAAGGCACGAGCAGCCGGCGCCUUCGGCGGAGGAGGAGGAGGAGGAGGAGGAGGGAUCGCGUCGGGCGGAGCUUCAGGUCCUGUUCGCCUCUCCGGCUUCUCCAUACAAAGAUUACGGUGCAGAAGGAAAUUGCACUUGCCUCCUCCGCCCCCCGGUACCCAGCACAAUGCACCAGCCGCCCGAGUCCACCGCCGCGGCGGCCGCUGCUGCAGACAUUAGUGCUAGGAAGAUGGCGCACCCGGCAAUGUUCCCUCGAAGGGGCAGCGGUGGUGGCAGCGCCUCUGCUCUCAAUGCAGCAGGUACCGGCGGCGUCAGUGGUGCUGCUCCAUCUUCAGAAGAUUUCCCUCCUCCUUCACUGCUCCAGCCGCCGCCUCCUGCUGCAUCUUCCACGCAGGGACCACAGCCUCCGCCUCCACAAAGCCUGAACCUCCUCUCGCAGGCUCAGCUGCAGGGACAGCCUCUUGCGCCAGGCGGAACUCAGAUGAAAAAGAAAAGUGGCUUCCAGAUAACUAGCGUUACUCCGGCUCAGAUCUCUGCCAGCAUCAGCUCUAACAACAGCAUCGCGGAGGACACCGAGAGCUACGACGAUCUGGAUGAGUCGCACACAGAAGAUCUCUCUUCUUCCGAGAUCCUUGACGUCUCCCUUUCCAGGGCCACUGACUUAGGUGAGCCUGAACGCAGCUCCUCAGAGGAGACUCUGAAUAACUUCCAGGAAGCUGAGACACCUGGGGCAGUCUCUCCUAACCAGCCCCACCUUCCUCAGCCUCAUUUGCCUCACCUUCCACAACAGAACGUUGUGAUCAAUGGGAAUGCCCACCCCCACCACCUCCAUCACCACCAUCACCUUCAUCAUGGGCACCACCUUCACCAUGGGCACCACCAUUCAUCACAUGCUGCUGUGGCCGGUCCAUCCAUUCCCGGAGGGCCACCCUCGAGCCCAGUGUCCAGGAAACUCUCUACAACUGGAAGUUCUGAUGGUGGUGUGCCAGUCGCACCUCCUCCUGUACCAUCGAGUGGCUUACCGGCAUCCGUGAUGACGAACAUCCGUACUCCAAGUACUACAGGCAGCCUAGGUAUAAGUUCGGUUACUGGCACGAGCACGACGACUAAUGUUAACAUUGCUGCUGUGGGUAGUUUCAGUCCCAGUGUGACGAACAGUGUGCAUGGUAAUGCUAAUAUAAGUACAAGUAUCCCUAAUGCUGCUAGCAUAGGUGGUGGGCCUGGAGUUACCAGUGGUGUUAAUGCGAGUAUCUUGAGUGGCAUGGGCAAUGGUACCGUUUCUUCCUCUCCUGUUGCUAACAGUGUCCUUAAUGCAGCUGCAGGUAUCACUGUGGGAGUGGUUUCCGGUCAGCAGCAGCAGCAACCAACAGUUAACACAUCGAGAUUCAGGGUUGUGAAGUUAGACUCUACUUCUGAACCCUUUAAAAAAGGUCGAUGGACUUGCACUGAAUUCUAUGAGAAGGAAAACGCUGUGCCAGCUACAGAAGGCGUGGCCAUCAAUAAAGUGGUGGAGACGGUGAAGCAAACCCCCACGGAAGCGUCGUCCUCGGAGAGGGAGAGCACUAGUGGGAGUUCCGUGAGCAGUAGUGUGAGCACACUGAGUCACUACACGGAGAGUGUGGGAAGUGGAGAGAUGAUGGGAGCCCCGGCUGUGGUGGCACAGCAGCAGCAGCAGCCGCCGCCAACGCUACCACCAGGGCCCCCAGGUCUUCAAGGUGUGGCCCUCCAACAGCUCGAGUUCAGUAGCCCCGCUCCACAGAGUAUUGCUGCGGUUAGUAUACCACAGAGUAUUUCUCAGUCACAGAUGUCACAAGUACAGUUACAGCCUCAAGAGUUGAGCUUUCAGCAGAAGCAGACUCUUCAGCCUGUCCCUCUGCAAGCCACCAUGAGUGCCGCAACUGGGAUCCAGCCUUCCCCUGUCAACAUGGUCGGCGUCACGGCAGCUGUAGGUCAGCAGCCUUCCGUUUCCAGCCUGGCUCAACCGCAGCUGCCGUAUUCUCAGACAGCUCCUCCCGUGCAAACUCCUCUUCCAGGGGCACCACCCCAGCAGUUACAAUAUGGGCAGCAGCAACCAAUGGUUCCUACGCAGAUAGCCCCAGGCCAUGGCCAGCCAGUGACUCAAAAUCCUACUUCAGAGUAUGUGCAGCAGCAACAGCAACCAAUAUUUCAAGCAGCAAUGUCCUCUGGGCAGUCCAGUUCCACAGGCACGGGGGCAGGAACAUCAGUGAUUUCUGUGGCUCAGCCACAAGGGAUCCAGCUGCCAGUGCAGCCCACAGCAGUACAAGCACAACCUGCAGGGGCAUCCGGGCAGCCCAUUGGCCAGGCUCAGACAGCAGUACCAACUGGCGGUCAGAUUGCAAACAUGCCCACUGCAGUACAGCAGCCCUCUACCCAAGUUACACCUUCAGUUAUUCAGCAAGGUGCUCCUCCAUCUUCACAAGUAGUCCUACCUGCUCCAGCCGGGAUCAUUCAUCAGGGAGUUCAAACCAGUGCUUCAAGCCUUCCACAACAAUUGGUCAUUACACCCCAGAAUACCUUGGUAACUGUGCCUCCCCAGCCACAGGGAGUAGAAACCGUGGCCCAAGGGGUUGUUCCCCAGCAGUUGCCCACAGGUAGUCCUCUGCCCUCUGCUAGCACUAUUUCUGUUACAAAUCAGGUUAGUUCAGCCGCUCCUUCUGGAAUGCCUUCUGUCCCAACAAACUUAGUUCCACCACAGAAUAUAGCACAACCCCCAGCCACCCAAAAUGGCAGUUUGGUUCAAAGUGUUAGUCAAUCUCCCUUGAUAGCCACUAACAUAAAUUUGCCUUUGGCACAACAGAUACCACUAAGUUCUACUCAGUUCUCUACACAAUCAUUAGCUCAGGCCAUUGGAAGCCAAAUGGAAGAUGCCAGGCGCCCAGCGGAGCCCUCCUUAGGCGGCUUACCUCAGACUAUGAGUGGUGACAGUGGGGGAGUGUCAGCAGUUUCAGAUGGGAGUAGCAGCAGCCUAGCAGCCCCUGCUUCUCUCUUCCCGUUGAAGGUGCUACCGCUGACAACACCCCUGGUGGAUGGCGAGGACGAGAGCUUUGGUUUGUUUCCACACUGGCUGCCAGAGCCAGGAGGAAGUGAAGGCAGUCGGCACUGCCUCCUUAAGGCUGAGAUGUAACCUUUGUUGGUUGUUGGGUAGAGAACAGGACAGCACAAACCUCGGCCCACUAACAGCUCUAUUUCAGUGCUUCUCUCCUACCAGAGGUACAAGGAGUGAUCCUAGAGCCACAGAUACAGCCAAGACCACGGAGAGCUUUUGACGUCAGGGCUCCACUUUGUCCACUGAACCCUUGGAGACAGAAUACCCAGCUCCUGGAGAGAGUGGGAAAGGAUAAUAAACAAGUGGGUGCUUUCCGUUAUUUACUUGGGUUUAUCUAUAGAGUGGAGUGUCCUUCCAUUCCCCAUCAUUCUGUUGGGAAUCCCCUUGGCUUCUUGGAGGAGCCAAGUGGGACUGCAGCCUGUGUGUUUCCUGAGAAUACUGUCUAGUGCCAUUCACAAAACAAACCGAAAACUUUAAUAUUCUCUCCAGAUAAUUGAUGCAGUGGCUAAUCUGGAGCACACACACAAUUUGCUCCAUGCCUGUGUAGUUCACAGGAAUUAAAGGCAGUCAUUCCCUGCUUUGGCCUUUAUUGUAACAGUAGACUUGAUAGAGUUCUUGUAGGGUGACGCCUGAAAUCUCUAAAUUUAUACAGUUGACUAUUCAGGUGUCACCCUGCCCUAUUAGAGUGGACUUUUUGGUCUUUUUUUUUUCUAUCGUAAAUGUUAGGCCUUCACACUCGGUCUCUUAGGAGAUGGAAUGGUAGCACUGUUGUGGCUUUACUGUCAAAUGGAGGCGUCAUUCUUUAAUAAAAUAAAUAUGAAUAUAAGUUUCAGGAUUUAAUAUUCCUGAAAGCUAUAUACUCAAAAGUAGUUUUCUAGUCCCUAGGAAUGUAAUUUAUUUCAACACUAGAUUUUCCCUAGGGCAUUAAGAUGACUCUUUCUUAGUUUCUUUGGUGCCAAGGGUAGGGUGUGAGUGCAGGCAUCUCUUACCGUCUGCAGUGGGUAGAGUGUGAGGUUGUUGCUUUGGCAAGUUUUCAUUGUGUCCUUGGUGGCUUCUUCUGUGACUCCAGGUAUCUUGAUAAUGGGAGACCGGUUUAUUUGUUCUCUAAUUGCCCAGAUUUCUUUCAACUGGUAAACAUCAUACCUCUGCAGCAAAGGAACUCCUCUAGCAGAGCCUCAUGGACGGUAUCUGUCCCCGUGGCAGCACCUGCAGUGUGGAAGGCAGUGGUGAACGGACCCAUGCACUAUGUCUAGAAGACACAAGGAUGAGCCAGCCCACCUGAUCUUGUUACUUACAAACUUCCAAGAUUUACUCGGGUUUAUUUUUGGUCUGAAAAUGGAAAGGCUCAAAUAAUGAAGUAAUCUUUUCGUAUUGGAGUUUUACAUGGCCAUGAAAAUAUUUCUUAUUCUGAAGACUGAAAUAGAGGAAGCUUGAGAGUCUUGUCUUUCAAAGCAGCUCUCUGUAUCUGUUUGACUUAAAAGAUUUGUGGGACUGAAAAUCAUUUAACCACAUAGGCAACCCCCACUUUAAAAAGCAGCCUUAAAAAUAAACAAAAAACCCCCAGAAAGCUUGAGGAACCCUUCCACCACCUUUGUCACCAUCGCCAAAGCGAAUACAGGGUGGACCGAAGUUUUGAAGUGUUAGGAGGGACUCUUGGCUCAUCUCUGGCUGGUCCUGAGCCUUAUUCUUACUGUAGUUUAUGAAAUGAUGAAAGUCAUGGAGCUGUCUUGGAGGCCCAGUGGAGCCCAGUCUGUGUUCCUAAGCAGUAAAUGCCUGUUAGGGUUGAAGGGCUGACUCUGCACUUCGGGCGUUGUGCCUCUUGAGUGAUGCAGAGCAGAGGUAGUGAACAGUCAGAGUGAACCGUAGGUGUGAAUAGGUUUAAAGUAAUUGUCCAAUUUACCAAUUGGCCGCAGCUGUCAAACUAAUGUUUGUUUCUUUGGUGAUCUGGUAACUGGCCAGUCAAAGCUACUAAGGGAAACUGUGACAGUCACCUGAUGCCGCCAGUUCCUUUUAAGUUGGAAUAAGUUUUAAGAAGAGACAUUGUAGAAUUAAUAAUAGGAGAACUAAAAUGUUAGCCUCUUAACAUUUAAGACUAUCAGCUAAGAGAUAACCUGUUUUUAGUCUUUCCUGGCUAUAAGAACUAUUUCUUAAUUAUAAAUCAUUUUUCAAAAGUUUUAAUGCUUUUAAAAGUAAAUAUUAAAGAUAAUUUUGAACUGAAAAAUUCCCCCACAGAACUCUGAAUUCCUGUAGAAUGAUUCUAGCCCUGUUGUCCUGACUUAGAUAAGUGCAUAUAAACAAAAGACAAGGUACCUAAUGCUUUAGAGGGAAUUUGGAAGCGGAAACUGGGAUUUACUAGACAUCCUAUUGCAUUCUUUAAACCACAGUAGGAACCAUUUUAUGGCCUGAGCCCACAAGCCUUUUGUCUCAGCACUGAAGCCAGAAAGUGAUUUACCCUUAGAAUCUCAAGCUUUAAUGAAUUUCAGCUCUGUUCCUUAAAGUAUGCAAAAGAGAUGUUAGUGCAUUCCCGUUACCUCAUGCACUACAAGCUACUGCAAAGUCAAACUUUUUGUGUAUCACUGUGAACUGUUUUGUUUGAAUUUUAAUUUUGAUGCAUUUUCUUUUUAGAUUUUUAAAGAACAAUUUCGUGUCACAAUAUGCAAUCCUAUAUCUUUUCCGUGUUUACUCUAUGAAUAUUAAUAUAAGUGAUUUUUUUCCUAGAAUGAUUUAUUGUGUAAUAUUUGUAUUAUGUGAUCAUUUGAAAACUAAUAAAUAUUUUCUCCAUGGAAAAAUGCACUUACUGAUAAAUGGCUUAUUUUUGUUUCAGGAGUAGAAAGUGAAAAUUGCAACCAUAUUUU